Non-coding RNA from Acanthosepion pharaonis, 114 nucleotides. The record is from the annotation of a GenBank genome assembly. NCBI's taxonomy places the organism in Eukaryota, Metazoa, Mollusca, Cephalopoda, Sepiida, Sepiidae.
UUACGGCCAUAUCACGUCGAAACAUCUCUUCUCGUACGAUCAACGAAGUUAAGUAACGUCGAGUCUAGUCAGUACUUAGAUGGCUGACCGCUUGAGAAUACCAGGUACUGUAAG